Molecule: ribosomal RNA, 253 nt
Filed under: uncultured bacterium
Lineage: Bacteria
Description: partial 16S ribosomal RNA
Rfam family: Bacterial small subunit ribosomal RNA
Source: RNAcentral
UACGUAGGGGGCAAGCGUUGUCCGGAAUUAUUGGGCGUAAAGAGCGUGUAGGCGGCCAGGUAGGUCUGCUGUGAAAACUCGAGGCUCAACCUCGAGCUGUCGGUGGAAACCAUCUGGCUAGAGUCCGGAAGAGGAGAAUGGAAUUCCUGGUGUAGCGGUGAAAUGCGCAGAUAUCAGGAAGAACACCCGUGGCGAAGGCGGUUCUCUGGGCCUUACCUGACGCUCAGGCGCGAAAGCGUGGGGAGCAAACAGG